UACGAAGGGGGCUAGCGUUGCUCGGAAUCACUGGGCGUAAAGGGUGCGUAGGCGGGUCUUUAAGUCAGGGGUGAAAUCCUGGAGCUCAACUCCAGAACUGCCUUUGAUACUGAGGAUCUUGAGUACGGGAGAGGUGAGUGGAACUGCGAGUGUAGAGGUGAAAUUCGUAGAUAUUCGCAAGAACGACCGGUGGCGAAGGC
RNAcentral lists this ribosomal RNA (200 nucleotides) under uncultured bacterium. RNAcentral's name for it is "partial 16S ribosomal RNA". It matches the Rfam family "Bacterial small subunit ribosomal RNA", at positions 524 to 722 of the family's 1533-position model. The record is from RNAcentral.